GGAGUCUAGCAUGCGCGCGAGUCAUUGGGACACGACUAAACCUAAAGGCGCAAUGAAAGUGAACGUCCGCCUCGCGCGGACGUAGGGAGGAUGGGCGGCCGUUACGGCAGCCGCUCCGCACUCCCGGGGCGUCUCGUUCUCAUCGCGAGAGGAGGCGCACCAAGAGCGUACACGCUGGGACCCGAAAGAUGGUGAACUAUGCCUGGUCAGGACGAAGUCAGGGGAAACCCUGAUGGAGGUCCGUAGCGAUUCUGACGUGCAAAUCGAUCGUCGGAACUGGGUAUAGGGGCGAAAGACUAAUCGAACCAUCUAGUAGCUGGUUCCUUCCGAAGUUUCCCUCAGGAUAGCUGACGCUCGUUGUUUACGAGUUUCAUCCGGUAAAGCGAAUGAUUAGAGGCAUUGGGGUCGAAACGGCCUCAACCUAUUCUCAAACUUUAAAUGGGUGAGAUCUCCGGCUUGCUCGAACUACGUAUGAAGCCGCGAGACUCGAAUCAGAGUGCCAAGUGGGCCAUUUUUGGUAAGCAGAACUGGCGCUGUGGGAUGAACCAAACGCAGAGUUAAAGCGCCUAAAUCGACGCUUAUGGGAUACCAUGAAAGGCGUUGGUAACUUAAGACAUCAGGACGGUGGCCAUGGAAGUC
RNAcentral lists this ribosomal RNA (639 nucleotides) under Scolytocaulus sp. COL1073. RNAcentral's name for it is "eukaryotic LSU rRNA". It matches the Rfam family "Eukaryotic large subunit ribosomal RNA", at positions 670 to 1262 of the family's 3401-position model. Lineage: Eukaryota; Metazoa; Arthropoda; Insecta; Coleoptera; Tenebrionidae. The record is from RNAcentral.